GGACUACCCGGGUUUCUAAUCCUGUUUGCUCCCCUAGCUUUCGUGCCUCAGUGUCAGGAGAUGUCCAGGGACUCGCCUUCGCCACUGGUGUUCCUCUUGAUAUCUACGCAUUUCACUGCUACACCAAGAAUUCCAGUCCCCCCUCCAUUCCUCGAGCAAGGUAGUUUCCAAUGCAGUUUCGGAGUUAAGCUCCGAGAUUUCACAUCCGACUUACCUCACCACCUACGCACCCUUUACGCCCAGUGAAUCCGAACAACGCUUGGGACCUCUGUAUUACCGCGGCGGCUGGCAC
RNAcentral lists this ribosomal RNA (292 nucleotides) under uncultured bacterium. RNAcentral describes it as "partial 16S ribosomal RNA". RNAcentral also lists the same sequence under 1 other name. The record is from RNAcentral.